This 468-nucleotide ribosomal RNA is filed under the name uncultured bacterium. Its description in RNAcentral is "partial 16S ribosomal RNA". It matches the Rfam family "Bacterial small subunit ribosomal RNA", at positions 28 to 507 of the family's 1533-position model. The record is from RNAcentral.
GAUGAACGCUGGCGGCGUGCCUAAUACAUGCAAGUCGAGCGGACAGGUCAGGCGUUUGCGGGUUGCUCGUUAGGCGAGGAGGUGUGAGACACGUGAGUAUCCUGCACCUAUCAUUCGGGUAUCUCCUCGAGAAUGGGGCGCUUACCGCGUAUAACCUCCUGAUCCGCAUGGUUGGUUAGUAAGAUUCGGCUGUGGGGGAUCGACUCGAGGCUUCCGCGCCUUUUUGGCUGGUAGUGGCUUACCAAGGCUUUGACGGGUAGCCGGCCUGGGAGGGUGACCGGCCACAUUGCGACUGCGAUACGGCCCAGACGCCUACGUGAGGCAGCAGUGGAGAAUAUUGCACAACGGGCCGAAGCGUGAUGCAGAGACGUCGCGUGCGGGAUGACGUCCUUCGGGGUGUAAACCGAUUUCGCCUGUGACGAAGCGUGAGUGACGGUAAUGGGUAAAGAAGCACCGGCUAACUACGUG